GUUUUCGUGGCCUAGUUGGUUAGGGCGUCUGUCUUACAAGAUAACUCUUCUUGAAGCUCACAGAAGAUCCCCGGUUCGAGCCCGGGCGAGAACA
Xylaria scruposa is the source of this 94-nucleotide non-coding RNA. The record is from the annotation of a GenBank genome assembly. Lineage: Eukaryota; Fungi; Ascomycota; Sordariomycetes; Xylariales; Xylariaceae.